GGACAGAUGAUUGGGGUGAAGUCGUAACAAGGUAGCCGUAUCGGAAGGUGCGGCUGGAUCACCUCCUUUCUAAGGA
Molecule: ribosomal RNA, 76 nt
Filed under: Macrococcus epidermidis
Lineage: Bacteria; Bacillati; Bacillota; Bacilli; Caryophanales; Staphylococcaceae
Description: partial 16S ribosomal RNA
Rfam family: Bacterial small subunit ribosomal RNA
Source: RNAcentral